This 301-nucleotide ribosomal RNA is filed under the name uncultured bacterium. RNAcentral describes it as "partial 16S ribosomal RNA". It matches the Rfam family "Bacterial small subunit ribosomal RNA", at positions 509 to 809 of the family's 1533-position model. The record is from RNAcentral.
CAGUCGCCGCGGGAAUACGUAGGGUGCAAGCGUUAAUCGGAAUUACUGGGCGUAAAGCGAGCGCAGGCGGUUAGAUAAGUCUGAAGUUAAAGGCUGUGGCUUAACCAUAGUACGCUUUGGAAACUGUUUAACUUGAGUGCAAGAGGGGAGAGUGGAAUUCCAUGUGUAGCGGUGAAAUGCGUAGAUAUUGGGAGGAACACCAGUGGCGAAGGCGGCUUUCUGGACUGCAACUGACGCUGAGGCUCGAAAGCCAGGGGAGCGAACGGGAUUAGAUACCCGCGUAGUCCCUGUCUCUUAUACA